This 254-nucleotide ribosomal RNA is filed under the name uncultured bacterium. Its description in RNAcentral is "partial 16S ribosomal RNA". It matches the Rfam family "Bacterial small subunit ribosomal RNA", at positions 548 to 776 of the family's 1533-position model. The record is from RNAcentral.
UACCAGCACCCCGAGUGGUCGGGACGUUUUAUUGGGCCUAAAGCAUCCGUAGCCGGUUCUACAAGUCUUCCGUUAAAUCCACCUGCUUAACAGAUGGGCUGCGGAAGAUACUAUGGAGCUAGGAGGCGGGAGAGGCAAGCGGUACUCGAUGGGUAGGGGUAAAAUCCGUUGAUCCAUUGAAGAACACCAGUGGCGAAGGCGACUCACUGGACACGUAUUGACGCUGAGGUGCGAAAGCGUGGGGAGCAAACAGG